UACGUAGGGACCAAGCGUUGUUCGGAUUUACUGGGCGUAAAGGGCGCGUAGGCGGCGCGGUAAGUCACUUGUGAAAUCCCUGAGCUUAACUCAGAACGGCCAAGUGAUACUGCAGUGCUAGAGUGUGGAAGGGGCAAUCGGAAUUCUUGGUGUAGCGGUGAAAUGCGUAGAUAUCAAGAGGAACACCUGAGGUGAAGACGGGUUGCUGGGCCAACACUGACGCUGAGGCGCGAAAGCCAGGGGAGCAAACGGG
RNAcentral lists this ribosomal RNA (253 nucleotides) under uncultured bacterium. Its description in RNAcentral is "partial 16S ribosomal RNA". It matches the Rfam family "Bacterial small subunit ribosomal RNA", at positions 524 to 776 of the family's 1533-position model. The record is from RNAcentral.